GGGCCCGUAGCUCAGCUGGUAGAGCGCCGCGCUUACACCGCGGAUGUCGUCGGUUCGAGACCGGCCGGGCCCA
Molecule: transfer RNA, 73 nt
Filed under: Pseudokineococcus lusitanus
Lineage: Bacteria; Bacillati; Actinomycetota; Actinomycetes; Kineosporiales; Kineosporiaceae
Description: Kineococcus sp. CECT 7306 tRNA
Rfam family: tRNA
About the family: Transfer RNA (tRNA) molecules are approximately 80 nucleotides in length.
Source: Rfam by way of RNAcentral